This 292-nucleotide long non-coding RNA is filed under the name Mustela putorius furo (domestic ferret). RNAcentral describes it as "lncRNA (ENSMPUG00000030814.1)". Lineage: Eukaryota; Metazoa; Chordata; Mammalia; Carnivora; Mustelidae. The record is from RNAcentral.
GCCUAUUCGGUGGAAAGAUAAGCAACCUUACAGCUAUUUCUAAGGAAUCCAAAAUGGAAGAAUGGGAGGAUAGGUGAAGCCAGACUGCACCACAACUCAGCAACUAACUAUAGGAAUGAUGGCUGGCAGAACUGGUGGCUGAAGUACCUACUGGUCCAGAACUUUGGAAAGUGUCUCUUCUGGUUCCCAUACUAUUGCUAAAUAUGUAGUAUAUUAUUUCUGCUGAUGCAGAUAUUUACUAAAUAUUUGGAAUUACUGAAGUUUGGAAUUGUACUUAUGAUUAAAAAUUGAC